CUCUAUUUUCCCCCUAAUUUUUUAUCAUUUACUACACAAAGACAACCCUAAUCGUUCUCUCUUCUAUCUUUUCCCCAUGGGUGGCUUGUUCUAUCUUCUCUAUCGUUUCCCACUGAUGGCACACACAGAGUCAUAGUCUUUCUUCUUUUCUUUCACUAAAUUUAUUUUGCUCUAAUGCCUCCAGUUAGCCAUGGCUAGGGCUACCAUCAAGGUUGAUUUCUUCAUAAUGGAGAGGGGUUAGUCCUCUUCCAAAUCUCAGUUCCAGAAGUUUCUUCAUCGCCAACGAAGAUUUCAAGGAUGGAACAAACCAAUCUACAUUUGGAAGGCAUGCAUGGUCCACACAAGUCAAGUUUUGUUAAUGAUUAAAAUACUUAUGUCAUUUUAUCUAACGAUGAAAUUCCAAUUCAUUAGAAUUUAUCUUGUAAUAUGAUUUUGUAAGCCUAAAUUAGGCUAAAUAUGUAAUAUACAUAAUUUUGUGUUAGUUUUACAUUUUUAAGCAUUUUUUUAUAUACAUUGUAUGUUUUUGUGGUU
This is a long non-coding RNA of Humulus lupulus (European hop), 531 nucleotides long. RefSeq lists it as uncharacterized. The transcript is spliced from 2 exons. Lineage: Eukaryota; Viridiplantae; Streptophyta; Magnoliopsida; Rosales; Cannabaceae. The record is from RefSeq and is a predicted model, not a curated record.